CAGUCGCCGCGGGAAUACAGAGGGUGCGAGCGUUAAUCGGAUUUACUGGGCGUAAAGCGUGCGUAGGCGGCUUCUUAAGUCGGAUGUGAAAUCCCUGAGCUUAACUUAGGAAUUGCAUUCGAUACUGGGAAGCUAGAGUAUGGGAGAGGAUGGUAGAAUUCCAGGUGUAGCGGUGAAAUGCGUAGAGAUCUGGAGGAAUACCGAUGGCGAAGGCAGCCAUCUAGCCUAAUACUGACGCUGAGGUACGAAAGCAUGGGGAGCAAACAGGAUUAGAUACCCCUGUAGUCCCUGUCUCUUAUAC
Molecule: ribosomal RNA, 301 nt
Filed under: uncultured bacterium
Lineage: Bacteria
Description: partial 16S ribosomal RNA
Rfam family: Bacterial small subunit ribosomal RNA
Source: RNAcentral